GUUUUGAUUUGUUUUACAAUAAAUAAGGCUAGUGUAAGAGUUGCCGAGGCGGCAGGGGGGCGCGGGAUCGCACUGCAGCGCAGGCCACAGCGGCCACCAGAGCCCCCCAACCCCCUAAGCCAUUUCACAGGUGUUGUUGUUGGUAGAAUUUGUUAAUGAUCCUUCCGCAGGUUCACCUACGGAAA
Molecule: unclassified non-coding RNA, 185 nt
Filed under: uncultured fungus
Lineage: Eukaryota; Fungi
Description: sequence contains ITS1
Source: RNAcentral